Long non-coding RNA from Megalobrama amblycephala (Wuchang bream), 4055 nucleotides. RefSeq lists it as uncharacterized. The record is from RefSeq and is a predicted model, not a curated record. The transcript has 3 exons. NCBI's taxonomy places the organism in Eukaryota, Metazoa, Chordata, Actinopteri, Cypriniformes, Xenocyprididae.
GUCCAUUGCUCCAGCUUACAUUGAGGGCACUUGUCACACAUAGCAACUGUAAUUGUUUGAUUUGUUUCAUAACGCAAUAAACAGUCAUAAUGGAGCAUGGCUGUCACCCGGUGGCCUUUGUUGUGUGAUGCCUAAUCAAUGUCACUCCUAUAUACAGUUAUUUUAAACCAAUUUAUGCUUUAAUAACAUAGCUCUAAUUAUUUAGUAAUAUAAUUUUUACAAUAACCUUACUAUCAAAAACGCCUACAUGUUAAAAAGAAAAGGCAAAAAAAAAAAAAAAAACAGCAAACAAUUUACAAUUUUAUUGAGCAUGACAAUAAUAAACAUUAAAAAUUGUAUUAAAUCUAACUAACUUCAUGGCAAUGAAGAUCAAAUCCAGAAUUAUCAGCCUGCACACUGAUGAAGAAAGUAAUGUCAUAUGUUAUUUAUUUACUUUUCCUGCUGUUUUAGGUUUUUGCCAUAGUAUCGUUUAAGUAUUGGUAUCGUGACAUCGCAGACAUUUCUGUCCUUGCUGGUCUUAAACAAUGAAGACCAUAUAAACCAAGGGCUGUCUAAAUAAAAAUUACAUUUUGAUAUAUAUAUCAAAAUGUAAUUUUUCUAUACUGCAUUUCUUUUAUUGCGUUGUUUCACAUGUUUUGUGUAUUGUUAUGGUUAACGUUAGUUCAUGAAAAUACAGUUCAUUCUUUGUUCAUGUUAGUUUACAGUACUACCUAAUGUUAACACUGUUUUAAUAAUGUAUUACUAUGUUGAAAUUAACAUUAACAAAUAUUAAUAAAUACUGUGUAAGUGCAGUUCAUUAUUAGUUCAUGAUAACUAAUGUAGUUAACUAAUUAACCUUAUUGUAAAGUGUUAUAAAAAAUGCUAUACAAGGUGGUUUUGAACACUGAACCUCUUGCGUGCCAAACAAAAUUAGUAACCCCCAGCCCACUUGGGCACACGCAGAAUAUUGGUGGAUUUAUGUAUUAAUUAUUUAUUACCAGAGCUUCUCAGUGAUUUUAGUCCUGUCCAAAUGUGCCAUCUCAGUAAUCAUUAUGGGCAAUGUCAAUAAAGAUUACGACGGCUUUUACCUUCUGUAAAAAGGUCCGGAAAAAUUACCUCAGGUAAUACUAAUCCUGUUCGAAUAGACCCGCUGUAAAUAUGUACGAUAAAAUUAAUUCCUUUGUCCGAAUAGGGCUAUAGUCAGCUAUAUGGGAUAAUGCGGUUGUUGAAUGAACCUGGUUCAGUGGAAUUCUUAUUCAGGCAGCUUGUAAUUCAUCAACCAAUCAUCAACUGACAUGUUGCUGACCUCAGGAGACAUCAUGUAUUCUUCAAAUUCGCUAGUCAAAAGACAGAGCCCAUCUUCUUUCUCAGAGAUUCCAAUUACCUCUAUUUCCUCCUUGGUCUGCCUUUGUUCAAUAAUCUGGAUUAAAGGACAAUGUUUAAAGGAGGUUAAAGUCUGGCUGUCAGCAAAUUUUUUAAACUUCAAUGAGAGAAAAACGGAGCUUGUUUGGUUCGGUGGUCCUGCUCUUCCUGAACUGUCAAAUUUAGGUGAGCUGACCCCUUUUUGUAAACCUGUGGUUAAAAAUUUAGGGGUACUAUUUGACAGUUCUCUAAAAUUCGAUAAACAGAUAAAUUCAGUCGUUAAAACAAGUUUUUUUCAUUUACGUCUUUUGGCGAAGGUUAAACCUUUUCUUUCUUUUAAUGACUGUGAGAAGGUGAUUCAUGCUUUUGUGUUCACACGACUUGACUAUUGCAACUCUUUGUAUGUAGGUGUUUGUCAAAAGGCAUUGAACCGGUUGCAAUUAGUCCAAAAUGCUGCUGCUAGGCUCUUGACGAGGACACGCAAAUGGGACCAUAUUUCUCCUAUUUUAUCCUCUUUGGGUUGGUUGCCUGUCCAGUACAGGACUGAUUUUAAGCUCCUGAUUUUUGUUUAUAAGUGCCUGAAUGGAUUAGCUCCCUCAUACUUGUCAGAGAUUUUACAGGUGCAUAAGCCUUCCAGGUCUUUAAGAUCUUCUGACCAGUCUGUUUUAAUUAUUCAGAGGACAAGAUACAAUCGGAGGGGUGAUCGGGCCUUCGCAGUGGCAGCACCAAAGUGAUGGAAUAGUUUACCGUCUCAUAUUAGAGUAUCCUCUACUCUAAGCAUUUUUAAAAGACGUUUGAAGGCUCAUCUUUUUAGUUUAGCUUUUGAGCCUGCAGUGUGUUGAGGCAUUGGCUUUUGUGUGUGUGUACUGUUUUAGAGGUUUAUGUUUUAUUUUAUGUAGAAUUUUUGCAUUGUACAGCACUUUGGUCAACGCUCUGUUGUUUUAAUAGUGCUUUGUAAAUCAAUAAAUCAAAUCAAAUCAAUAAAUCAAAUCAAAUCAAAUAAUAAACAAUUUAGAGUUAAAAUAACAUCCCUCAACAGUCAGUUGUGCUGAUAUUUUGUUUGGAUCCUGUGAUACUUUUUUUUUUUUCAGGAUUCAUUGAUGAAUAAAAAAAAUAAAAGCAUUUAUAACAAUUUAAGUGUUUACUUUUUAUAACUUUAGCACAUCUUUACUGAAUUAGAAUGACCGAGCUUUAACUAUAUCAAAUGUGAAAACUUGGAACUUGUUCAAACAGUAUUUGUAAGGUGGUUGAAUGUCUAAGAAGUGACAACAGUGUUGAUCUGUGGAUGGUUACUUGUACUUUGAUCAUAGUGUAGGCUGGUGAGUUCAGUUUGUUGAUGCCACUUGAAGAUGAAGGUCUUAGGUGCGUCAUUAUGACUUCGUCGUCUAUGCUGACGGGUACGAGGGCUUUGUCUCACCACAGUGUGACAUUCAGUUCUGUGGACCCACAUUAUGUAACGUGUGGAGACUUGAAUUUCUCACACUUGAGCUUAAUUUGAAUUAAUGGGUGGCUCUUAAAGAGCCGUUGCUGCCCUUAAAAAGACAUUUGAUGGCUUCAUCUUCAGAGUUCUACCUGCAGAGCUUCUCUGAGGUUACUCAGCAAAAGCUCAUUUCCCUCUGGGCUCAGGUGGACUCCGUCCCAGGUCAGAUUCGACAGGUCGAUGUUGGAAUGACGAACGCAGCGCAUCUGUCUCUCUGCCAAGAAGUCUGCAGUCGAACUGUUGAGCUACCGCCGGCUCCGUUCAAUGCCGUAUGCAGACCUAACAGUCUGCCCUCGCCAGUUCAGUCGGGGCAAAUGCAUGAAAAGUGAAGCCUGGUUCUGGGGACCAUCCUGAAGACUUCCUCCAGGUCCGUCUUCAUUUCCCGAAGGAAAUCCAGGCAGUUGCAGCCCUUCCGACAUAAACUGUUUCCACCGAGGUGAAUAAUCAAGAUGUCGGGAGCAGAAGCUUUGUCCCUGAGAGACCGCAACAGUCUGCCUCCUCUGCCCUCCCAGGUUAUACUGCAGCAAAGGCCAAGGCUCCUGUCGAGCCCCUGCUCACAGAUGUGAGCAUACAGCCUUCGAAUAAUUGAGCUACCAACAAUCCAUACACAAGGUACUCUGUCAUCCGCCAUCUCGAAGAAGAGUGAGGGUGCUGUGAUUUGGCGCCAGUAUUUAGGAUGAGACCUAAUCUGAAAUCGAAUGAGCAGCCUCCAAUAGUAGGACAUGCAUUUCAAAAUAAGAGUCCCGAUGUAUAUCAGUCUUGUUUAUAAUUAAAAGCCACACAUAUGUAUAAUUUCCCCCUGGUUAUUACUGAUAUUUUGUUACACAAUAAACCCUGUAAACAGAUGCAUAAAGGCAGGAACACACCAAGCCGAUGCCGAAAAAAGAAGGGAAAAGAGCUUGAGAAUCCUUGCUCAGCAGUCUCAGGACAGCCAUCCCAUUCACCGUCGUGCUCACAUCAGGAAGGGUCUCCAGGAUCGUGUCCUCAGUGGUCUGACCUUUCUCCUUGGGAGGGGGCUUUCUGAGGGCAGUGGGGAAGUUAGGCAUCCAGCCGCCAAAGUCAAACUGGGGGGAAAGAAGUGGAGAAAAAAAUAUGACAUCGGCAUGUUGGGCUGAUGCAGUGAAGAUCACCAUGGUGACAAACUUGACGAGCUCUGUCACAGUCUGAAGAGAUGAUGGUAUUCCUGUGAAGAAUGAAAGGCUGUUUCUGUGAGGAACUCAAUUUAGGACGUUUA